CGAACCUCUGGUGUUCGGGUUGUGACGCCAGUCGCAUUGCCCGGUAGCUAUGUUCGGACAGGAUAACCGCUGAAAGCAUCUAAGCGGGAAGCCCCUUCCAAGAUGAGAUCUCCCUGGACCCUUGAGGUCCCUGAAGAGCCGUUCAAGACCAGGACGUUGAUAGGUCGGGUGUGUAAGCGCUGCGAGGCGUUGAGCUAACCGAUACUAAUUGCUCGU
This 216-nucleotide ribosomal RNA is filed under the name Pycnococcus provasolii. RNAcentral's name for it is "partial Bacterial large subunit ribosomal RNA". It matches the Rfam family "Bacterial large subunit ribosomal RNA", at positions 2702 to 2912 of the family's 2925-position model. The record is from RNAcentral. Lineage: Eukaryota; Viridiplantae; Chlorophyta; Pseudoscourfieldiophyceae; Pseudoscourfieldiales; Pycnococcaceae.